RNAcentral lists this RNase P RNA (382 nucleotides) under Puniceicoccales bacterium. RNAcentral describes it as "RNase P RNA component class A". It matches the Rfam family "Bacterial RNase P class A". From Rfam's summary of the family: Ribonuclease P (RNase P) is a ubiquitous endoribonuclease, found in archaea, bacteria and eukarya as well as chloroplasts and mitochondria. Lineage: Bacteria; Pseudomonadati; Verrucomicrobiota; Opitutia; Puniceicoccales. The record is from RNAcentral.
ACCAAGGUGUGCGCAUUCGCCCGAUUCACGUCGGGAGGAAAGUCCGGACACUACAGGGCAGGAUUCCGUGUGAAAACGCGGGCACCGGUCGUCAAGGGCCGGUGACGGAAAGUGUCACAGAAAACAAACCGCCGGAGGCAACUCCGGUAAGGGUGAAAAGGUGGGGUAAAAGCCCACCGCGGUGCCGGUGACGGCACCGGCAGGAUAAACCCAAUCCAGUGCAAGACAAAAUAGGGAAGCAGGCGGCCCGUCUCAUGCUUCCGGGUAUGUCGCCCCGCCGCAAGGCGGAGUCGCCGGCGCAAGCCGGUGGCUAGAGGAAUGAAUGCGACCGGUGCCGUUCGCGGCGUCGGCACAGAAUCCGGCUUACAGCACCUUGGUCUUU